AUUGAACGCUGGCGGAAUGCUUUACACAUGCAAGUCGAACGAUGAACCUUAGCUUGCUAAGGGGAUUAGUGGCGAACGGGUGAGUAAUAUAUCGGAACGUAUCCAUUAAUGGGGGAUAACUAGUCGAAAGAUUGGCUAAUACCGCAUACGUCCUACGGGAGAAAGCUAGGGACCUUCGGGCCUGGCGUUAAUGGAGCGGCCGAUAUCUGAUUAGCUAGUUGGUGAGGUAAAGGCUCACCAAGGCGACGAUCAGUAGCUGGUCUGAGAGGAAGACCAGCCACACUGGAACUGAGACACGGUCCAGACUCCUACGGGAGGCAGCAGUGGGGAAUUUUGGACAAUGGGCGAAAGCCUGAUCCAGCCAUUCCGCGUGAGUGAAGAAGGCCUUCGGGUUGUAAAGCUCUUUCGCAAGGGAAGAAAACUUACCCUCUAACAGAGGGUGAGGUUGACGGUACCUUGAUAAGAAGCACCGGCUAACUACGUGCCAGCAGCCGCAGUAAGAC
This 503-nucleotide ribosomal RNA is filed under the name uncultured bacterium. RNAcentral's name for it is "bacterial SSU rRNA". It matches the Rfam family "Bacterial small subunit ribosomal RNA", at positions 30 to 526 of the family's 1533-position model. The record is from RNAcentral.